This 253-nucleotide ribosomal RNA is filed under the name uncultured bacterium. Its description in RNAcentral is "partial 16S ribosomal RNA". It matches the Rfam family "Bacterial small subunit ribosomal RNA", at positions 524 to 776 of the family's 1533-position model. The record is from RNAcentral.
UACGUAGGGUGCGAGCGUUAAUCGGAAUUACUGGGCGUAAAGGGUGCGCAGGCGGUUUUGUAAGCCAGAUGUGAAAUCCCCGGGCUUAACCUGGGAACUGCAUUUGGGACUGCAAGGCUAGAGUACGGCAGAGGGGGGUAGAAUUCCACGUGUAGCAGUGAAAUGCGUAGAUAUGUGGAGGAAUACCGAUGGCGAAGGCAGCCCCCUGGGUCGAUACUGACGCUCAGGCACGAAAGCGUGGGGAGCAAACAGG